This 47-nucleotide ribosomal RNA is filed under the name Dothideomycetes sp. 5 GS-2016. RNAcentral's name for it is "partial 28S ribosomal RNA". Lineage: Eukaryota; Fungi; Ascomycota; Dothideomycetes. The record is from RNAcentral.
UUAACCUGGAAUCAAAUAGGGAUACCCGCUGAACUUAAGCAUAUCUA